Molecule: long non-coding RNA, 1457 nt
Filed under: Cyanistes caeruleus (blue tit)
Lineage: Eukaryota; Metazoa; Chordata; Aves; Passeriformes; Paridae
Description: lncRNA (ENSCCEG00000006035.1)
Source: RNAcentral
CUGCAAAUGCUGCAAGGGACUGAUUUGAGAUAUUUCAGUUGAAUAGUUCCUGGUCCAUGCUGGAGGCUGACAAGGCGGUAACAUAAAGACCUGUUAUACAGGAGAUAAGAAAAGGAGGAAAAGUAAAGAGAGAGAUCAACUUUCUCAGAAGGUAUUUGUACAACGGAAAAAAACCCGAGUCCUUUCACUGGAAUCGGAAUUGCUUAUGAUUUCAGAGCCUCAGUUUCUUCUGAGGAAACUGAAACUUAUUCUUCUGAAUCUUACAGAACCACAGAGUCGAAGCUGAAUUUAUUCUUUAUACUCCACAGUGCUCUCAGCAUGACAGUGUGUGCAUCACCCAGAUUUAAUUCCUCAGUGACCCCUAGUGUCUUCAGAGGAGGAGGAGGCUGGUGUCUGACCUCAGGACAGUUUUCCAUGAGGCUCUUUGCUUCUUCAGUAGGGGAAUUUGGCCUAUUUGCAAUUCAGAGGCUCAGCAGGGACAGAGGACAAGCACCUCCAGUAUCUCUGGCUUGUUUUUGUGAGCAGAGGGAGGGAGCACUGUUGGUGCACUCCAAAUAUGCAUCACAUGUGCUCCUGCAAGCAGUUACCUUCUAAUCAGAACCUUUCUGACAUGAAAUGUGUGGAACAUAAAUUUGGAGGACCUGACAAGAAUGGAAGAACUGUAUAAAGGGUCUGAAUAACUGCAGAAGUUUAAAUUUCUAAGAAGACACAUUUUCAAACAGAAGACAUACUAGUUGUAUUGCCAAUGUAGUUAGACACUAAUUAUCUGAAUAUCCCAGUUCUCUAAAGUAUUGUUCCAGUGGAGUGUCAGAUUCCACCAAGAAUGGUGAGAGCUUCUACCUUCUGUAUAUGGCUGUAUGUACCUCAGUAAAUUUCAUCCAGACAAAUAUUGAUUUUUAUGGCUGAAGGGAAACUCUGCCCUCCUCAUUGACUGGAAAGAUGAAUUACAGGCUGUUUUCCCCUGGAGUCUCUCAGGGCUGAUCUACGACUUGGAAGUUCUGUUGGCAAUUUACUGGGCAAUUAAAUUCCGAGGAAGUACUCAGAAGGAAAAUGGAUCUUUGGCUGGCUGGAGUGGAUGUUUUCUAGCCAAAGAAAAGAGGAAAAUGUUGCAAGAAGAUUUAAACCCUGUAGGUAUAUAUUAAAUAACCUACCACUAACUGUCAGGUCUUUCUGCUAGCCCAAGUGUGUUCAGAUGGAUUUCUCCAGUCCAGAAUGUGAAAUGGCAGCUCUCAUGCCAGACAGGUUUGGAAGGUAUUGAACCCUUCACAUCUAGAGCAGCAGACUGCAGAAGGAUGAUAUGCUUCCACCCAUUAGUGUCUUUCAAGUAGUUGCAAAGGUUAUGAAGUAGAGUCAUAUACUGAAUGAUGGUAUGGAAUGGCAUAAAGCAGCCAUUCAUCCAAACAGUAUUAGUUGCCUUGGACUGCUUGCAGAGAAGAAUUUGACAACUUCAGUUCAUG